UACGGAGGGUGCGAGCGUUGUCCGGAAUCACUGGGCGUAAAGGGCGCGUAGGCGGCGCGGGAAGUCAUCGGUGAAAGUUCAGGGCUCAACUCUGAAUCGGCCGGUGAUACUCUCGUGCUUGAGCACUGUAGAGGCAGGUGGAAUUCCGGGUGUAGCGGUGGAAUGCGUAGAGAUCCGGAAGAACACCGGUGGCGAAAGCGGCUACUCUGGGACGGUACUGGACGCUGAGACGCGAAAAGCGUGGGGGAGCAAACAGGG
Molecule: ribosomal RNA, 258 nt
Filed under: uncultured bacterium
Lineage: Bacteria
Description: partial 16S ribosomal RNA
Rfam family: Bacterial small subunit ribosomal RNA
Source: RNAcentral